This is a long non-coding RNA of Corvus hawaiiensis (hawaiian crow), 383 nucleotides long. RefSeq lists it as uncharacterized. The transcript is spliced from 3 exons. Lineage: Eukaryota; Metazoa; Chordata; Aves; Passeriformes; Corvidae. The record is from RefSeq and is a predicted model, not a curated record.
AGAGCUUGCAGAGCUUUUCCAUGUCCUUUUUGGCGCCGAUGGCUGUCAUCCAGGAGAGCGCCCAGUAGCAGGAGAACGCUGACACCAGGGCAAGAAAUGAGGCUGGAGCCGGUGCUGGAAUAGAUCAGGAGGCCUGCAGUGGUUCUGGGGCAGUUCUGUCACAAGAAGCAACAGUGCACUCCCAGAAAAAUAGCUCAAGGCAAGGUCACCUUUAAUACUGAAGCAUUCAGUGAAUAUGACCAGCAGAGACCCCUCUUAAUGAAUCUGCAGGACCAUCAAAAGACUUCCAGGAGGAGGUCACCGGCGAGCCCGGGACAAGACCUGAGCCAGAACUUGUUGGGCCCUUGCAGAGAGAGAAGCAGUAAAUGGUGUUGGAGAGUUUU